ACUGCCCCUAGAGGCGUUGCAGGUGUGGCUGCCGUGUCAUGUCUGAGUCAUGAGGUGGCAGAGAGCAGAGAGGCUUAGUCUAUGCCCAGUGUUCUGGCUGGUGGACAUCUGGAUGAUUGAUAGUCUGACACU
RNAcentral lists this small nucleolar RNA (132 nucleotides) under Cervus elaphus hippelaphus. RNAcentral's name for it is "Small nucleolar RNA SNORA17". It matches the Rfam family "Small nucleolar RNA SNORA17". Rfam says of the family: snoRNA ACA 17 belongs to the H/ACA family of snoRNAs and is predicted to guide pseudouridylation of the 28S rRNA at positions U4659 and U4598. It shares the same host gene together with ACA43. NB This family has a high threshold value to exclude a large number of closely related sequences that do not appear to have conserved H and ACA boxes, and may be pseudogenes. Lineage: Eukaryota; Metazoa; Chordata; Mammalia; Artiodactyla; Cervidae. RNAcentral also lists the same sequence under 1 other name. The record is from Rfam by way of RNAcentral.